Zonotrichia leucophrys gambelii is the source of this 432-nucleotide long non-coding RNA. RefSeq lists it as uncharacterized. The record is from RefSeq and is a predicted model, not a curated record. NCBI's taxonomy places the organism in Eukaryota, Metazoa, Chordata, Aves, Passeriformes, Passerellidae. The transcript has 3 exons.
AAGCCUUGCUCAUGGUGAACAGCUUGCCAAGCUGGUGAGAAGGUUUCCCUCAGCAGUCAGUCCCAGAGAGAACCAUCCUGCAUGCCCACCUGUGCAGCCAGACCUGCCCAUGGCACAUCCCGAGCCUUCAUCCCUGGCUGAGGCCAUGGAUGAGGUCAGCAUCUCAGCUCACAGCUUCUUCAGCCUCCCCCUGCAGCACCACCAGUGCCCAGAUUUGUAGUUUCUGAGUUUGGUAAACUUCUUACAGCACUUACAGUCUUUACUGUAAGGCAGUUUUCUUCUUGGAGAUGAUGGUAACAAAUGUGACUACUGCAGCAAAAUACACACAUGGGUCUUAAGAAAGCCACUUACAUUGUUCUCAACAGAACUGCAAAACCACUGGGCUGGAUGCUGUAAACAGUACUGAGCAUCCUUAAGUGAGGAGGAUUUCUG